AUGAGGUGUAAGUCGAAAUAGAGGGAGGGUCUACUCGGAUAAGGAGGGAGUACGGUCCAGAAAACCUCAAUUGGGCCUUAGGACCAAUGUCCAAUACAUAUGAAAGAAACGGAGGCUCGUUCACUCUCCAUCUACCUCAUGCAACUCACCAGCCAGAAGAGGAAAAACUAGGUUCCGACGGCGAACCUAGCCGCGCCGGCCUAAGCCACCGACAUUGGCGCUUCCACACGGCGAAGCAUUCACGCCGUCCUCCACUUCCUAACCUAACCGAAACGAGAAGACAAAUUCCACCUAACGAAUCAAAGUGCUCAUUGAUUCGGUUCUUCGACGGAACGAACCGAAUGUCGAAUAAAAAAAAGGAAUGAGUUCCGACUAUGACUUGUAUUACAACACAUGAGUUGACAACGCGAAAAUAAGGGAGAGCCUACCGGCGAUGGAUCGGCGACGUCGAAUUCGGAACUCAGGAUUCAUAUGGUGAGGUAUUCUGUGAGUUUGAUUUGAAGAAUUUGAAACAGCAAGGUGGCAAAGAUGAACGCCUAAGAACUCUUAUGCAGGUGGUGGUGGUGGCCGUGAUUCUGGAAAAAUUGGAGAAGAGGAGGUUCCACUGUUUGUUCUUGUAUUUAUAUAGAAUUCUGAAUAUUGAAUUUGAACUUUGAUUUGCAAGUUGCGUUCCGCUUUGUUCAUUCUGCGUUUUGAUGCCUUGCGUUUGGAUUUGUGUUGGGCUGCGUUUUGCUGUAGUUUCGAGUUCUGUUGUAUUGCGUUUCAAUUUGUUCGCGUUUCGUCGUUUCCGUCAUUUGCUGUGUGAAUGCGUUUUGUCGUUUCUGCCAUUUCGUAUGCAUACCUUCAUUGCGUUUUGUCUUA
This is a long non-coding RNA of Lathyrus oleraceus (garden pea), 861 nucleotides long. RefSeq lists it as uncharacterized. The record is from RefSeq and is a predicted model, not a curated record. Lineage: Eukaryota; Viridiplantae; Streptophyta; Magnoliopsida; Fabales; Fabaceae. The transcript is spliced from 2 exons.